AUUGAACGCUGGCGGCAGGCCUAACACAUGCAAGUCGAACGAGUGGCGGACGGGGGAGUAAUGUCUGGGAAACUGCCUGAAGGAGGGGGAUAACUUCUGGAAACGGUAGUUAAUACCGCAUACCAUCGGAUGUGCACAGAUGGGAUUGGCUAGUAGGUGGGGUAAAGGCUCACCUAGGCGACGAGCCCUAGCUGGUCUGAGAGGAUGACCUGACAAACUGGAACUGAGACACGUUCCAGACUCCUACGGGAGGCAGCAGUGGGGAAUAUUGCACAAUGGGCGCAAGCCUGAUGCAGCCAUGCCGCGUGUAUGAAGAGGGCCUUCGGGUUGUAAAGUACUUUCAGCGGGGAGGCGUUACCCGCAGAAGAAGCACCGGCUAACUCCGUGCCAGCAGCCGCGGUAAUAC
RNAcentral lists this ribosomal RNA (406 nucleotides) under uncultured bacterium. RNAcentral describes it as "partial 16S ribosomal RNA". It matches the Rfam family "Bacterial small subunit ribosomal RNA", at positions 30 to 526 of the family's 1533-position model. The record is from RNAcentral.